This 698-nucleotide long non-coding RNA is filed under the name Homo sapiens (human). Its description in RNAcentral is "HSALNT0191067". Lineage: Eukaryota; Metazoa; Chordata; Mammalia; Primates; Hominidae. The record is from RNAcentral.
CAAGGGCUGUAGCGUGGAAACGGAGGAUGAAGCCAACACUGAGUGGAGAGAGAGAGAAAUCUGGCCCUUGGUGACACGCCUCAUGUCACUAGAAGCUACAGUAUUGGACAGCACGAUUCUCUGUUCUCCAAAUGUAAAAUCAAGAAUGAGAACGCUGGCAGAAGUAAGGAAAGAUGAGACCUGUUUUGAAAACGAAGUUUUAGAGGAACUAUGUGAACAGAUUGUGUUCUUCAGGGGCCUGGCACAUGAUGACAUCUAACACCCAUGGCCAACAGCAUUCAUAAUCACCAAUACGCAGCAUCAUACUCUGUCUACUGGCAAUUCCCAGAGAUCCAAGAAAUAUGUAAAACACUGGCUAGAAAGUGUUCUUGUGGCACGAGGCGGUGCUCAUCAGGUGGCUUUAGGGUGCACUGGUCACCUGUUACGUGCAGGUCUCCUGGAGGACCUGAGUCCCUGCCCCAGCUCAGCCCACACCACCUCUGUCACCCUGAGACUUAUAACCAGGCCAGGCGCGAUGGCUCAUGCCUAUAAUCUCAGCACGAUGGGAGGCCGAGGCGAGUGGAUCACUUGAGGUCAGGAGUUCAAGACCAGCCUAGCCAACAUCUCUACUAAAAAUAUACAAAAAUUAGCUGGGCGUGGUGGUACACGACUGUAGUCCCAGCUACUUGGGAGACUGAGGCAGGCGAAUUGCUUGAACC